Molecule: ribosomal RNA, 372 nt
Filed under: uncultured Streptococcus sp.
Lineage: Bacteria; Bacillati; Bacillota; Bacilli; Lactobacillales; Streptococcaceae
Description: bacterial SSU rRNA
Rfam family: Bacterial small subunit ribosomal RNA
Source: RNAcentral
AGAAAGUUACUUCGGUACAUCGGUGACAGGUGGUGCAUUGGUUGUCGUCAGCUCGUGUCGUGAGAUGUUGGGUUAAGUCCCGCAACGAGCGCAACCCCUAUUGUUAGUUGCCAUCAUUCAGUUGGGCACUCUAGCGAGACUGCCGGUAAUAAACCGGAGGAAGGUGGGAUGACGUCAAAUCAUCAUGCCCCUUAUGACCUGGGCUACACACGUGCUACAAUGGUUGGUACAACGAGUUGCGAGUCGGUGACGGCGAGCUAAUCUCUUAAAGCCAAUCUCAGUUCGGAUUGUAGGCUGCAACUCGCCUACAUGAAGUCGGAAUCGCUAGUAAUCGCGGAUCAGCACGCCGCGGUGAAUACGUUCCCGGGCCUU